This 492-nucleotide ribosomal RNA is filed under the name uncultured bacterium. RNAcentral's name for it is "partial 16S ribosomal RNA". It matches the Rfam family "Bacterial small subunit ribosomal RNA", at positions 29 to 507 of the family's 1533-position model. The record is from RNAcentral.
AGUGAACGCUGGCGGUAGGCCUAACACAUGCAAGUCGAACGGCAGCACAGUAAGAGCUUGCUCUUACGGGUGGCGAGUGGCGGACGGGUGAGGAAUACAUCGGAAUCUACUUUUUCGUGGGGGAUAACGGAGGGAAACUUACGCUAAUACCGCAUAUGACCUACGGGUGAAAGCAGGGGAUCUUCGGACUUUGCGCGAUUGAAUGAGCCGAUGUCGGAUUAGCUAGUUGGCGGGGUAAAGGCCCACCAAGGCGACGAUCCGUAGCUGGUCUGAGAGGAUGAUCAGCCACACUGGAACUGAGACACGGUCCAGACUCCUACGGGAGGCAGCAGUGGGGAAUAUUGGACAAUGGGCGCAAGCCUGAUCCAGCCAUACCGCGUGGGUGAAGAAGGCCUUCGGGUUGUAAAGCCCUUUUGUUGGGAAAGAAAAGCAGCAGGUUAAUACCCCGCUGUUCUGACGGUACCCAAAGAAUAAGCACCGGCUAACUUCGUG